CGAAGUCAAGGGGAGCUUGCUCUUUUUGACUUAGUGGCGAACGGGUGAGUAACGCGUGAGGAACCUGCCUCAAAGAGGGGGACAACAGUUGGAAACGACUGCUAAUACCGCAUAAGCCCACAGCUCCGCAUGGAGCAGAGGGAAAAGGAGCAAUCCGCUUUGAGAUGGCCUCGCGUCCGAUUAGCUAGUUGGUGAGGUAACGGCCCACCAAGGCGACGAUCGGUAGCCGGACUGAGAGGUUGAUCGGCCACAUUGGGACUGAGACACGGCCCAGACUCCUACGGGAGGCAGCAGUGGGGAAUAUUGCACAAUGGGGGAAACCCUGAUGCAGCGACGCCGCGUGGAGGAAGAAGGUCUUCGGAUUGUAAACUCCUGUUGUUGGGGAAGAUAAUGACGGUACCCAACAAGGAAGUGACGGCUAACUACGUGCCAGCAGCCGCGGUAAAACGUAGGUCACAAGCGUUGUCCGG
This 470-nucleotide ribosomal RNA is filed under the name uncultured bacterium. RNAcentral's name for it is "bacterial SSU rRNA". It matches the Rfam family "Bacterial small subunit ribosomal RNA", at positions 63 to 548 of the family's 1533-position model. The record is from RNAcentral.